UGACCUGAGCUGAAACCGAGAGUUAGAUGCUUAGCCGACUGAGCCACCCAGGGGCCCCAAUACCUUCAGUUCAUUUAUGACCAUCUGGUUCAGGGAUGCACACGUGUACGUGAAUAUAAAAUGAAGGAGGCACAACAUCAUCAUGUCAGGCAUGCUCUCUCUGCCUCUGAUCUCAGAGCUGUUCCUGGCUGCACAAGAGUAGAGGGAGUUGUGAAAGUUCCCCAUCUGCUGGACUGGAAAAUAGUGGUUUCCAGACGGAGUCUCCAGCUGCUAUUCAGUAUUUGUUUCCCACCGUGAAAUUUCCACUCCAGUUUCAACUCUUCAGGACCUUGUCGGUUAACUACUCCUCCGGGCAUGCAUCUGCUUGGGCAACACCAAAGACGCUAAGCCAUAUCUUCAGAUUUCCUGACAUCUGCAUACAUCUGGUCAAGGAGAGGUGUGGCUUCUUCAAAGAUUUUGGAACAUUGCUUCUCGCACCACCCUCUUUCAGCACACCUUCUUCCUGGCUGCCUCCUGCUCUCAGGCCUAAUCUCAACUCUUGGGGGGGUUGGUGAUAGCUGGUGGAUGUUUUGUUGUCUUAUCAUACCUUCUCAUCCUCCUUCUUCAGGUUACAGCACUCUUCCUGUUUGGUAUUCGUUCCCUCUUUUCCUGGUGUUCUUGGUGAGGGUCCCCUCCCCCACUGGUGAGGAGGAUUCCCACCCCCUCACCCCCACAGUCCCGUGACCCAAGCAGGACCAAUCAGGGCCCUAUCUGAACUUCACCUAAGGGAGGUGGGAAAAAAGUCUUCUUUGUGGGUGGAUCUGAGGCUACGGCUCCAGGAAGCCAUCUUCCUGUGUGAGGUGGAGGGAGGCUGUGUGGAGAAACAAGCAGGGUGGGUGUUGGGUGUGGAUGGAAGAGAGAGUGAAUCCUGGUGUUAGGGAAUUCUCUCAGAGGCCUGGUUUCUGCAGCUCACUCUUCAGGCAUGUGAAUAGCCCGAGUAUCCUUCCCAGGUGGAUAGCAGUGCGGGAAGCUGGCGUCUGGAAUCACCACGGUGACUUUGAUUUCCAGCUGUGAGGAAGAACAGGCCCACGUGGCCAUUUCUCCAGCACCAUGAUAUCUAUGGGCACAGAAGAUAUCUGCCGAGAUCAUGGGGGCAGGAUCCGGGGGCAUCCACACUGGAUGCUGGACACUUCCUGCCAGUGCAUUCUAGGGAGAGCUGGCCUCUAGCAUCCUCUGUAGUGACCAACAGAAAUUGAAGAUCGAAACAAUACCUUUUGAAAGAAUUGGCAAAGGAAUACAAGAGGACCCGACACCUAGAUGAUGCAGCUCCUGGUGGACAGAGGUCUUCAGAUGGAAUCCCUACCAUGACCUAAAAAACUCUACAAAAUCUGGCUUUGGCUCUCCACGCAUUCCCCUCUGUCCUCAGUGUCUUUGUUCUGGUUCUUGAAAUGUUUUUGGUCUGCGUCUCCAUGGUUUAUGGUCUGCGUCUCCCCUUGAGACUGUCUUCUCCCAGAUAUUUUUUCAUGCUUCGUGCUUUGUACACCGCGUAUCCUUUUCAGAUUUAUUUUUAUAAAAUAGCAUCCCCCAACCAAUAGUGUUUCUUGACCUUACUUAAUUUUUCAUCUUAACCUCUGACAUCGUAUUACAUAAUUAUUUGAUCAUUUAUUUCUUGCUCUUGUCUCCCACUGAAAUGGAAGACCCACCAGGGCAGGGACAUUACCUACUUCGUUGCUUUAUCCUUCAUGCCUAGAACAGAAUGGCAUAUAGUCCUAGAAUUCUAAAUUGAUGCUCAUUCAUGUGUUCCUCCUGCAUGUUUUCUUUGUGAUUUAAAUUAUUUCUUUCUGCAGGGACAAGAGCUUUGCCUUCUACUUUUAUUUCCUGAAUUUCCUUUGGAUAAUUAAUAAAUAGCUUUGAUCUGCCUUUAUUAUUUCCGUUCAACCAAUUUAUUUGUCAUGGCUUAAAGAACUAGUUAGAAAUUUGGCUGCGGAGAGGUAAGCUAGGUUUUGAAGUCCUCUAAACAUGACUCAGCCGAUUCAUUAUGUAAACUUUGCCACCAUAGACCGUUGAACAUGGGCAAGACUAAGAGAAUUUUGUAAGGGGAUUUAGAGCAGAUGAUGGGAGGGUGGACUCCCUGAUUUGUUUAUUAUUUAUGCUGUACUAGGAAAAACAAUGGUUACUGGUUAUCAUAGUCUAAUUACUGGUUAUUAGACUAUAGACUAUAAGUCCAUGAGGGUAGAGAUCUUGCUCUCUUGCUCACCUGUAUUCAGGACCUAGAAUAGUGUCUAGUAUAUAGUUGGGGUUCAACAGAUGUUUUGAAUGAAUCACCAGAUGAAACAAGGAGUAUUGCCAUUGGGGGAGGGGGCAGGAGGAUACUCUGGAAAGCAA
This is a long non-coding RNA of Acinonyx jubatus (cheetah), 2364 nucleotides long. RefSeq lists it as uncharacterized. The transcript is spliced from 3 exons. The record is from RefSeq and is a predicted model, not a curated record. NCBI's taxonomy places the organism in Eukaryota, Metazoa, Chordata, Mammalia, Carnivora, Felidae.